This is a long non-coding RNA of Syngnathoides biaculeatus (alligator pipefish), 1113 nucleotides long. RefSeq lists it as uncharacterized. Lineage: Eukaryota; Metazoa; Chordata; Actinopteri; Syngnathiformes; Syngnathidae. The transcript has 7 exons. The record is from RefSeq and is a predicted model, not a curated record.
UGCGUCGACGAACUUUGUCCGACCUCAAACAACAAAACCCCCAUUUAUAAUUCCGCGUGAUGUUUGUGCAAUGUAAAACUUCGUAAAGAUUGUCAAACCUAAAGUAAUUGAUUUUACUAAUUACAUAAAAUAUCAGCCAGGAUACGCUCCGGCACUCCAUUGGAAAAUGUCUGAAUGGAUUUGCUGUUAUUCUUGAUUUUAAAUUGUUCUCAAUCUACAUUUUAGUAAAGAAAGGAAGAAAAAAAGUGAACAGAAAUUACAUCAGGUUUUUUGCACUAACCAUCGGCAAACGGAGAGCUAAGUGUCUGUUGAGUUGGUGGUCCGUUGGAGCGAGUUGUCACGUUGGCGUCACAGCAAAUAAGGCAGAGUGUCCAGGAACCUGUCGAUCAAGGGCGGAGGCGGCACCAGGUCCUCCAGCUUCAGCUCCUCCACGCGCUUGGAGUCCUUCAGGCCCGGAACUUGUUCUGUGAAGGAGACGAUGGGAGGAGAAAUGAAUGAAACGACGCGGGACGUCCCAGCUUACAAAACAGUGUGAAACGGGAAAAUAACGACAACAGCUGCAUUCGGCCUAAUGGUCGCUAAGACUUGGUUUCGGUCAAAGUGAUCGGCGCGGAAUAGGCCUGCACUUCAAUGAUGAUCUGGUUCUGUUGGCUUCAACAAAGCCGUGAUCUUCACUCUCACUGGAGUGGUUCACAAGCAAGUGUGAAGCGGCUGGGCUGAGAAUCAGCACCUUCAAAUCUGAGACCAUGGACCUCAGUUGGAAAAGGGUGGCGUGCCCUCUCCAGGUCGGAUACAGGGUGAGAAGCUCGGUCAUCCGGAGGGGCUCGGUGUCGAGCCGGUGCUCCUCUGCAUUAAGAGGAGCCAGAUGAGGUGGCUGGGACAUCUGAUUCGGAUGCCUGCCGGACGCCUCCCUGGUAAGGUGUUCUGGGCAUAUCCCAACAGAAAGAUAGACCAGAAGACCCCGGGACGACCCAGGACACGCUGGAGAGACUAUGUCUCUCGGCUGGCUUGGGAACGCCUUGGGAUCCCUCCGGAAGAGAUGGAAGAAGUUGCUUGGGAAAGGGAAGUCUGGGUAUCACUGCUGAAUCUACUUCCCCUGCGAGCCGACCUGGA